CGCCUGUUUAUCAAAAACAUCUCUUCUCGUUAGUUUUUGAAGUAUGGCCUGCCCACUGACCUUGAAUGUUGAAGGGCCGCGGUAUUUUGACCGUGCAAAGGUAGCAUAGUCAUUAGUUCUUUAAUUGUGAUCUGGUAUGAAUGGCUUGACGAGGCAUAAGCUGUCUUAAUUUUGAAUUGUUUAUUGAAUUUGGUCUUUGAGUUAAAAUUCUUAGAUGUUUUUAUGGGACGAGAAGACCCUAUAGAGUUUGACAUUUAUUUACGGUCUCUUUCUGUUUGUGAGGGUUCACUAGGGCUGUUUAAUAUGUUUUGUUGGGGUGAUGGGAGGGAUAUUAUUUAACCCCUCCUUUGUGUUGUUAUAUUUAUUUAUAUUUGCUUGAUCCAUUUAUUUUGAUUGUAAGAUUAAAUUACCUUAGGGAUAACAGCGUAA
Molecule: ribosomal RNA, 429 nt
Filed under: Reticulitermes flavipes (eastern subterranean termite)
Lineage: Eukaryota; Metazoa; Arthropoda; Insecta; Blattodea; Rhinotermitidae
Description: partial 16S ribosomal RNA
Rfam family: Archaeal large subunit ribosomal RNA
Source: RNAcentral